CUCUCGGGUGACGAGCGGCGGACGGGUGAGUAAUGUCUGGGAAACUGCCUGAUGGAGGGGGAUAACUACUGGAAACGGUAGCUAAUACCGCAUAAUGUCGCAAGACCAAAGUGGGGGACCUUCGGGCCUCAUGCCAUCAGAUGUGCCCAGAUGGGAUUAGCUUGUAGGUGGGGUAACGGCUCACCUAGGCGACGAUCCCUAGCUGGUCUGAGAGGAUGACCAGCCACACUGGAACUGAGACACGGUCCAGACUCCUACGGGAGGCAGCAGUGGGGAAUAUUGCACAAUGGGCGCAAGCCUGAUGCAGCCAUGCCGCGUGUGUGAA
Molecule: ribosomal RNA, 325 nt
Filed under: Klebsiella pneumoniae
Lineage: Bacteria; Pseudomonadati; Pseudomonadota; Gammaproteobacteria; Enterobacterales; Enterobacteriaceae
Description: bacterial SSU rRNA
Rfam family: Bacterial small subunit ribosomal RNA
Source: RNAcentral